This 322-nucleotide ribosomal RNA is filed under the name uncultured eukaryote. Its description in RNAcentral is "partial 18S ribosomal RNA". It matches the Rfam family "Eukaryotic small subunit ribosomal RNA", at positions 1470 to 1796 of the family's 1831-position model. The record is from RNAcentral.
CCCUUAGAUGUUCUGGGCCGCACGCGUGCUACACUGAGUGGAUCAGCGGGUCAGGUUGCGCGAAAGCGUUUCCUAAUCUUUAAAUCCGCUCGUGAUGGGGAUUGACGGUUGCAAUUUUCUGUCAUGAACGAGGAAUACCUUGUAAGCGCGGGUCAUCAUCCCGCGCUGAAUACGUCCCUGCCCUUUGUACACACCGCCCGUCGCUCCUACCGAUUGAGUGGUCCGGUGAGGCUUUGGGAUCUAAGCGAAAAGAGCGUUUCGCUCCUUUUGCUGGGAGAACUCAGUCGAACCUUAUCAUUUAGAGGAAGGAGAAGUCGUAACA